Molecule: long non-coding RNA, 1348 nt
Organism: Ornithodoros turicata
Lineage: Eukaryota; Metazoa; Arthropoda; Arachnida; Ixodida; Argasidae
Exons: 3
Source: RefSeq, a predicted model, not a curated record
CCUACGUUUCAGUUAGGAAAACUAUACAUCUGUUAAAAAUUUCCAACGUUUCGUUGCGCGCGUAGAGACAUCGCCGUAUUUAUGUUGCACUCGCUGUUGUCGAACGACACUAGAACACCGUCCCUCUGCUGUUUGUUACAACAUUUCUUGCUUGUGCGUGGAGUUUGUGAACGUGCAUCGUAGAGAGGUAAUGGUUGGUUGCUGUGCGUCAAGGUGUUCGAAUUCCCCACAGAAAGGGUUCGGGUGUUUUGCCUUUCCGCGAGACCCCGAAAGGCGAAAGAAAUGGCUGGUUCAGUGCAAGCGUGACAAAUGGACUUCAAGUUCCAACUCUAAAUUAUGUGAGUCCAGACACACUUUGAAGCAGAUCGGUUCGACUCAAACAGGCAAGAUGGGUGGCGAAAACUCAAGCCAAAUGUUGUGCCAACAAUAUUCUCAUUCAGAUGUGAGUGUAACUGCUGUUUUGCCGCUUUUAGCUUCAUGUUUUUCUUUUUUGAUGAUUUUGAUACCGCGAUGUAAAAAUAGCACAGAAUUCUACAAAUAAGUGAGUCUGUUUCGUUUUUAGCAUGCCUUAAAAGAAGAAAGCCACCAACAAAAUGGUGCACUCAGAUGAGAGUACCACGCAGUGAAAACAGUCAACCGAUAACUGCAUGCGAGCAACAACAGAGCGACUCUGAUGAAAUGCAGCCCGUGGAGCCUGUACCAAUACCUUCAGGUUUCACAAGCCCCUCGUACAGUGCGUUCCGCCAGUUGCACCUGUAAAGCUGGCACAACUGAAAAAUGCAAGCAUGCUGCAGAUGUUUGCUGCCACGUAAACAAAAGUGACAACAGUUCGUACAUCAGUGAACCACAGCAAUGGGAAAAACCAACCGGAAAACCCAAGCGGGAUAUGCUCCUGUCACCCGCGCUGCCUUUCUCGUAUGGUUUGCCGGGGAAACGGUACGAAUUUACUGCAGGAAUCCGACCCCUCGUGUUCUUCAAGCUGUUAGAACAGUUUACAAUACAACAGUAUUAUGUACCCGACUUUCUUUUCUUUGGUAGAGAUGCCAUCGCAGUACAGCGGAACGACGCCAAAUACGACACACACGAUCCACUAGUACGGCAGCUCUACAACAGGGGCCUGAUCGGCGCUGCAGUCGCCGAGCGAAACUUUAGUGGAACAGGUCUAUGCACGAGAAAAGACGGAGGAGAGAAUGUGAAGUGAAUGAGUGCGUGUCCCAUACUUUGAAUGAGGCCCUUGGCAACUGGCCGAUAGACUGGGCCAGUGUAGGGUAGUGGUUAGUGUAGUUGACCGCCAACCAAGAGGUGUGUGGCUCGAGUCCCACCACUCCCUGUUUUUUUCUUUGCGUUU